RNAcentral lists this non-coding RNA (830 nucleotides) under Xylophaga dorsalis. Lineage: Eukaryota; Metazoa; Mollusca; Bivalvia; Myida; Xylophagaidae. The record is from RNAcentral.
CAAGUUUUUAUGUUUAACAUACCAUUACUAAGCAAAAAUUUAUAUUCAAAAAAUUAAAUAUUUUUAUUCGUUAGUGGGAGAGUCUCUAAGUUUAGGUUCAACCUUGUUCUUACUCAGUGAGUAAAUUUGUACUAUUAUGUUACCAUAGAUUCAGCCUCGUGAAAUUUUAAAAAGGGGGAAAUAAAGUGCCAGCUCCUGCGGUCAAACUUUAUCUUUGAGUUAAGUGCAUCGUGUAGCAGUAAAAGAGAAAUUUUAGAAGGAGAUUCCCUACCCUGGUUGGGUGAAAUAAUACAGGGGGGAAGUUUUUUGGUUUCUAACUCUGAAGUCUGAAAAGGCUGUUUUUGGGACGGGGAUUAGAUACCCCCUUACUAAUGCUGACUAAUUUUAUGCGGGUAGUACGAGCUAAAAAGUUGCUUAAAAUCUAUAGAAGUUGGCGGUGCCCUAUAUCCGUUUAGGGGAACUUGGCGGUUAAUUCGAUGGUCCUCGAAAACUUUACCUGUUUUUUUCUUUGUAUACCGCCGUUGUCAAUAUUCUUUUCAUUAAUGUCGCUGAUAGUAAGGGAUAAACAUUUUAAGUUUUUAUUUGAAUUCAGGUAAACGUGCAGGUUUCAAACUGGGCUUAGCUGAGUUACAAUUAUUCAGUAUCGGAAGUAAGCGUUGAAACACGAUAUAGAAGGUGUACUUGUUAGUAACAAUUUUAAUUAAGGAAUUGUGAAUAAGGAUUUUUGGGGUGCGUACAAAUCGCCCGGUGUCCUGGAAUGUCCUCUUAAUGGGGUAAAUUUGGGUAAGCCGUAACAUAGUAAUGCUACCAGAAGGUGGUUUUAAGCCUAC